This 440-nucleotide ribosomal RNA is filed under the name uncultured bacterium. RNAcentral describes it as "partial 16S ribosomal RNA". It matches the Rfam family "Bacterial small subunit ribosomal RNA", at positions 338 to 795 of the family's 1533-position model. The record is from RNAcentral.
CCUACGGGUGGCAGCAGUGGGGAAUAUUGCACAAUGGGGGUAACCCUGAUGCAGCAACGCCGCGUGAGUGAAGAAGUAUUUCGGUAUGUAAAGCUCUAUCAGCAGGGAAGAAAAUGACGGUACCUGAGUAAGAAGCCCCGGCUAACUACGUGCCAGCAGCCGCGGUACUACGUAGGGGGCAAGCGUUAUCCGGAUUUACUGGGUGUAAAGGGAGCGUAGACGGUUAGACAAGUCUGAAGUGAAAGCCCGAGGCUCAACCCUGGGACUGCUUUGGAAACUGUAAGACUGGAGUGCAGGAGAGGCAAGCGGAAUUCCUAGUGUAGCGGUGAAAUGCGUAGAUAUUAGGAAGAACACCAGUGGCGAAGGCGGCUUACUGGACAGUAACUGACGUUGAGGCUCGAAAGCGUGGGGAGCAAACAGGAUUAGAUACCCGUGUAGUC